AUUGAACGCUGGCGGCAGGCUUAACACAUGCAAGUCGAGCGGAGUGAUGGUGCUUGCACUAUCACUUAGCGGCGGACGGGUGAGUAAUGCUUAGGAAUCUGCCUAUUAGUGGGGGACAACAUCUCGAAAGGGAUGCUAAUACCGCAUACGUCCUACGGGAGAAAGCAGGGGAUCACUUGUGACCUUGCGCUAAUAGAUGAGCCUAAGUCGGAUUAGCUAGUUGGUGGGGUAAAGGCCUACCAAGGCGACAAUCUGUAGCGGGUCUGAGAGGAUGAUCCGCCACACUGGGACAGAGACACGGCCCAGACUCCUACGGGAGGCAGCAGUGGGGAAUAUUGGACAAUGGGGGGAACCCUGAUCCAGCCAUGCCGCGUGUGUGAAGAAGGCCUUAUGGUUGUAAAGCACUUUAAGCGAGGAGGAGGCUCUUUUGGUUAAUACCCAAGAUGAGUGGACGUUACUCGCAGAAUAAGCACCGGCUAACUCUGUGCCAGCCGCCGCUGUAA
This 503-nucleotide ribosomal RNA is filed under the name uncultured bacterium. RNAcentral describes it as "partial 16S ribosomal RNA". It matches the Rfam family "Bacterial small subunit ribosomal RNA", at positions 30 to 523 of the family's 1533-position model. The record is from RNAcentral.